Molecule: unclassified non-coding RNA, 106 nt
Filed under: soil metagenome
Description: partial internal transcribed spacer 1
Source: RNAcentral
GUGAACGCCCUCACGGGCUUAUACUAUUCCAAACCUCUGUGAGCCGUGCCCUUCGGGGCUAUUUUACAAACAUGGUGUAAUGAACGUCAUAUAUCAUAACAAAACA